AACGAACGCUGGCGGCGUGCCUAACACAUGCAAGUCGAGCGCGAAUAGGGGCAACCCUUAGUAGAGCGGCGCACGGGUGCGUAACACGUGGAUAAUCUGCCUGGAUGCUCGGGAUAACCAGUCGAAAGAUUGGCUAAUACCGGAUAAGCCCACGGUUUCUUCGGAGACUGAGGGAAAAGGUGGCCUCUGUAUACAAGCUAUCACAACCAGAUGAGUCCGCGGCCCAUCAGCUAGUUGGCGGGGUAAUGGCCCACCAAGGCAACGACGGGUAGCUGGUCUGAGAGGACGAUCAGCCACACUGGAACUGAGACACGGUCCAGACUCCUACGGGAGGCAGCAGUGGGGAAUUUUGCGCAAUGGGCGAAAGCCUGACGCAGCAACGCCGCGUGUGUGAUGAAGGUCUUUGGAUUGUAAAGCACUUUCGACCGGGAAGAAAACCCGUUGGCUAACAUCCAACGGCUUGACGGUACCGGGAGAAGAAGCACCGGCUAACUCUGUGCCAGCAGCCGCGGUAACAC
Molecule: ribosomal RNA, 518 nt
Filed under: uncultured bacterium
Lineage: Bacteria
Description: bacterial SSU rRNA
Rfam family: Bacterial small subunit ribosomal RNA
Source: RNAcentral